GACGAACGCUGGCGGCGUGCUUAACACAUGCAAGUCGAACGGAAAGGCCCUGCUUUUGUGGGGUGCUCGAGUGGCGAACGGGUGAGUAACACGUGAGUAACCUGCCCUUGACUUUGGGAUAACUUCAGGAAACUGGGGCUAAUACCGGAUAGGAGCUCCUGCCGCAUGGUGGGGGUUGGAAAGUUUCGGCGGUUGGGGAUGGACUCGCGGCUUAUCAGCUUGUUGGUGGGGCAGUGGCUUACAAAGGCUUUGACGGGUAGCCGGCCUGAGAGGGUGACCGGCCACAUUGGGACUGAGAUACGGCCCAGACUCCUACGGGAGGCAGCAGUGGGGAAUAUUGCACAAUGGGCGGAAGACUGAUGCAGCAACGCCGCGUGCGGGAUGACGGCCUUCGGGUUGUAAACCGCUUUCGCCUGUGACGAAGCGUGAGUGACGGUAAUGGGUAAAGAAGCACCGGCUAACUACGUG
Molecule: ribosomal RNA, 468 nt
Filed under: uncultured bacterium
Lineage: Bacteria
Description: partial 16S ribosomal RNA
Rfam family: Bacterial small subunit ribosomal RNA
Source: RNAcentral